UACGUAGGGGGCAAGCGUUGUCCGGAUUUAUUGGGCGUAAAGAGCGUGUAGGCGGCUAGGUAGGUCCGUUGUGAAAACUCGAGGCUCAACCUCGAGACGUCGAUGGAAACCAUCUAGCUAGAGUCCGGAAGAGGAGAGUGGAAUUCCUGGUGUAGCGGUGAAAUGCGCAGAUAUCAGGAAGAACACCCGUGGCGAAGGCGGCUCUCUGGGACGUGACUGACGCUGAGACGCGAAAGCGUGGGGAGCGAACAGG
This 253-nucleotide ribosomal RNA is filed under the name uncultured bacterium. RNAcentral's name for it is "partial 16S ribosomal RNA". It matches the Rfam family "Bacterial small subunit ribosomal RNA", at positions 524 to 776 of the family's 1533-position model. The record is from RNAcentral.